RNAcentral lists this ribosomal RNA (253 nucleotides) under uncultured bacterium. RNAcentral's name for it is "partial 16S ribosomal RNA". It matches the Rfam family "Bacterial small subunit ribosomal RNA", at positions 524 to 776 of the family's 1533-position model. The record is from RNAcentral.
UACAGAGGGGGCGAGCGUUGUUCGGAAUUACUGGGCGUAAAGGGCGCGUAGGCGGCCAACUAAGUCAGACGUGAAAUCCCUCGGCUCAACCGGGGAACUGCGUCUGAUACUGGAUGGCUUGAAUUCGGGAGAGGGAUGCGGAAUUCCAGGUGUAGCGGUGAAAUGCGUAGAUAUCUGGAGGAACACCGGUGGCGAAGGCGGCAUCCUGGACCGGCAUUGACGCUGAGGCGCGAAAGCCAGGGGAGCAAACGGG